AGAGCGUGUUAAAUGGCAGUCAAAGAAUAUUUUUUCCUGAGUGUGUGAAAGGACUCGUGUCAUCUUCUCUCUUUACCUUAAUAUCCCGAGAGACAUUUCUAUGAAGAAUCAUCCCGGAUAUCGUCUCUUUUUAUAGAGGAGGAAAUUAAAGAAGAGACGUUUCAGGAUGAUGCUCAUAUAAUGUCAGAGCUUUCUGUCUCCAUGGAGGAUGUCCGCUGCCAUCUGCUGACCAGACUCAGUCACUGCACAUAAAAUUGGAAAAGAAGCAGACAAGAAAGGAACCCUGUGUAUUGCCAGUGUCUGAAUGCUUCCGAAUUAAUUGAAAUGAAGAUGGAUGUUUCCAUUUAAGCACAAUCAUCGUGGAAUUAGGAUUGGAAGGGGAGAAAAGUUACAGCGUGGCUUGACAGAGUAUUGGAAAAAUAGAAAACAAGAACAAAAAUGCCACGUCAUUGAGUUAAUAACAAAAGGACAUCCAUCAUUUUUCCUCUUCUAAUGUGUAAACAAAGGGAAAAUAUUGAAAAUACCAAUAUUAAUUUAUCAUCCGUUAGUUGAGAAUAUCAUCAUAGAGUGCUCUAGGGAAGAAAUGACAAGUUUGAGCAUAAUGAUCUAAAAUCCAGGGAAAAUGAAUAAAUAGAUCUUUUAGGUUUGACCCUAAA
This is a non-coding RNA of Ictidomys tridecemlineatus (thirteen-lined ground squirrel), 656 nucleotides long. Lineage: Eukaryota; Metazoa; Chordata; Mammalia; Rodentia; Sciuridae. The record is from RefSeq and is a predicted model, not a curated record.